AUUGAACGCUGGCGGCAGGCCUAACACAUGCAAGUCGGACGGUAGCACAGAGGAGCUUGCUCUUCGGGUGACGAGUGGCGGACGGGUGAGUAAUGUCUGGGAAACUGCCCGAUGGAGGGGGAUAACUACUGGAAACGGUAGCUAAUACCGCAUAACGUCGCAAGACCAAAGUGGGGGACCUUCGGGCCUCACACCAUCGGAUGUGCCCAGAUGGGAUUAGCUGGUAGGCGGGGUAACGGCCCACCUAGGCGACGAUCCCUAGCUGGUCUGAGAGGAUGACCGGCCAGACUGGAACUGAGACACGGUGCAGACUCCUACGGGAGGCAGCAGUGGGGAAUAUUGCACAAUGGGCGCAAGCCUGAUGCAGCCAUGCCGCGUGUAUGAAGAAGGCCUUCGGGUUGUAAAGUACUUUCAGCGGGGAGGAAGGUGCUGAGGUUAAUAAGCUCAGCAAUUGACGUUACCCGCAAAAGAAGCACCGGCUAACUCCGUGCCAGCAGCCGCGGUAA
RNAcentral lists this ribosomal RNA (506 nucleotides) under uncultured bacterium. RNAcentral's name for it is "partial 16S ribosomal RNA". It matches the Rfam family "Bacterial small subunit ribosomal RNA", at positions 29 to 523 of the family's 1533-position model. The record is from RNAcentral.